Molecule: ribosomal RNA, 492 nt
Filed under: uncultured bacterium
Lineage: Bacteria
Description: partial 16S ribosomal RNA
Rfam family: Bacterial small subunit ribosomal RNA
Source: RNAcentral
AGUGAGCGCUGGCGGUAGGCCUAACACAUGCAAGUCGAACGGCAGCACAGUAAGAGCUUGCUCUUACGGGUGGCGAGUGGCGGACGGGUGAGGAAUAUAUCGGAAUCUACUUUUUCGUGGGGGAUAACGUAGGGAAACUUACGCUAAUACCGCAUACGACCUACGGGUGAAAGCAGGGGAUCUUCGGACCUUGCGCGAUUGAAUGAGCCGAUGUUGGAUUAGCUAGUUGGCGGGGUAAAGGCCCACCAAGGCGACGAUCCGUAGCUGGUCUGAGAGGAUGAUCAGCCACACUGGAACGUAGACACGGUCCAGGCUCCUGCGGGAGGCAGCAGUGUGGAAUAUUGGACAAUGGGCGCAAGCCUGAUCCAGCCAUACCGCGUGGGUGAAGAAGGCGUUCGGGUUGGAAAGCCCUUUUGUUGGGAAAGAAAAGCAGCAGGUUAAUACCCCGCUGUUCUGACGGUACCCAAAGAAUAAGCACCGGCUAACUUCGUG